AUCUAGCCCCGAUAGCAGCGGCAUCCUUUUGUUCCGACUUUUUUCGGGACAAAAGAUACAGCGGAUAGCGGGAUUAGCU
This 79-nucleotide small RNA is filed under the name Flavobacterium sp. TAB 87. Its description in RNAcentral is "Flavo-1 RNA". It matches the Rfam family "Flavo-1 RNA". The record is from Rfam by way of RNAcentral. Lineage: Bacteria; Pseudomonadati; Bacteroidota; Flavobacteriia; Flavobacteriales; Flavobacteriaceae.